GGGGUGCUCGAGUGGCGAACGGGUGAGUAACACGUGAGUAACCUGCCCUUGACUUUGGGAUAACUUCAGGAAACUGGGGCUAAUACCGGAUAGGAGCUCCUGCUGCCUGGUGGGGGUUGGAAAGUUUCGGCGGUUGGGGAUGGACUCGCGGCUUAUCAGCUUGUUGGUGGGGUAGUGGCUUACCAAGGCUUUGACGGGUAGCCGGCCUGAGAGGGUGACCGGCCACAUUGGGACUGAGAUACGGCCCAG
RNAcentral lists this ribosomal RNA (249 nucleotides) under uncultured Actinomycetales bacterium. RNAcentral describes it as "partial 16S ribosomal RNA". It matches the Rfam family "Bacterial small subunit ribosomal RNA", at positions 84 to 334 of the family's 1533-position model. The record is from RNAcentral. Lineage: Bacteria; Bacillati; Actinomycetota; Actinomycetes; Actinomycetales.